RNAcentral lists this ribosomal RNA (1146 nucleotides) under uncultured cyanobacterium. Its description in RNAcentral is "bacterial SSU rRNA". It matches the Rfam family "Bacterial small subunit ribosomal RNA", at positions 376 to 1533 of the family's 1533-position model. Lineage: Bacteria; Bacillati; Cyanobacteriota. The record is from RNAcentral.
CGAAAGCCUGACGGAGCAAUACCGCGUGAGGGAAGAAGGCUUUUGGGUUGUAAACCUCUUUUGUCAGGGAAGAAGAAUUGACGGUACCUGAAGAAAAAGCAUCGGCUAACUCCGUGCCAGCAGCCGCGGUAAUACGGAGGAUGCAAGCGUUAUCCGGAAUCAUUGGGCGUAAAGGGUCCGCAGGUGGCGAAUAAAGUCUGCUGUUAAAGACCGGGGCUUAACUCCGGAAAGGCAGUGGAAACUGAUUAGCUAGAGUACGGUAGGGGUAGAGGGAAUUCCCAGUGUAGCAGUGAAAUGCGUAGAUAUUGGGAAGAACACCGGUGGCGAAAGCGCUCUACUAGGCCGAAACUGACACUGAGGGACGAAAGCUAGGGUAGCGAAAGGGAUUAGAUACCCCUGUAGUCUUAGCGGUAAACGAUGGAUACUAGGUGUAGCUUGUAUCGACCCGAGCUGUGCCGAAGCUAACGCGAUAAGUAUCCCGCCUGGGGAGUACGCACGCAAGUGUGAAACUCAAAGGAAUUGACGGGGGCCCGCACAAGCGGUGGAGUAUGUGGUUUAAUUCGAUGCAACGCGAAGAACCUUACCAGGGCUUGACAUGUCGCGAAUCUAGCGGAAACGUUAGAGUGCCUUAGGGAAUGCGAACACAGGUGGUGCAUGGCUGUCGUCAGCUCGUGUCGUGAGAUGUUGGGUUAAGUCCCGCAACGAGCGCAACCCUCGUCCUUAGUUGCCAAUAUUAAGUUAGGCACUCUAGGGAGACUGCCGGGGACAACUCGGAGGAAGGUGGGGAUGACGUCAAGUCAGCAUGCCCCUUACGUCCUGGGCUACACACGUACUACAAUGGUUGGGACAAAGGGCAGCAAGCUCGCGAGAGUAAGCGAAUCUCAUCAAACCCAGCCACAGUUCAGAUUGCAGGCUGCAACUCGCCUGCAUGAAGUAGGAAUCGCUAGUAAUCGCAGGUCAGCAUACUGCGGUGAAUUCGUUCCCGGGCCUUGUACACACCGCCCGUCACACCAUGGAAGCUGGCUACGCCCGAAGUCGUUACCCUAACCCGGUUUUGGGAGGGGGAUGCCGAAGGUAGAGCUAGUGACUGGGGUGAAGUCGUAACAAGGUAGCCGUACCGGAAGGUGUGGCUGGAUCACCUCCUUU